CCUACGGGAGGCAGCAGUGAGGAAUAUUGGUCAAUGGCCGUAAGGCUGAACCAGCAAAGUCGCGUGAAGGAAGAAGGAUCUAUGGUUUGUAAACUUCUUUUAUAGGGGAAUAAAGGUAUCCACGUGUGGAUAUUUGCAUGUAACCUAUGAAUAAGCAUCGGCUAACUCCGUGCCAGCAGCCGCGGUAAUACGGAGGAUGCGAGCGUUGUCAGGAUUUAGUGGGUUUAAAGGGUGCGUAGGUUGUUUUGUAAGACAGCGGUGAAAGUUUGUGGCUCAACCAUAAAAUUGCCGUUGAAACUGGAAGACUUGAGUGUAUUUGAGGGAGGCGGAAGGCGUGGUGUAGCGGUGAAAUGCAUAGAUAUCACGCAGAACUCCGAUUGCGAAGGCAGCUUACUAAGCCAUAACUGACACUGAAGCACGAAAGCGUGGGGAUCAAACAGGAUUAGAUACCCGUGUAGUC
Molecule: ribosomal RNA, 460 nt
Filed under: uncultured bacterium
Lineage: Bacteria
Description: partial 16S ribosomal RNA
Rfam family: Bacterial small subunit ribosomal RNA
Source: RNAcentral